UCGAACGGUAACAGGUUAAGCUGACGAGUGGCGAACGGGUGAGUAAUAUAUCGGAACGUGCCCAGUCGUGGGGGAUAACUACUCGAAAGAGUGGCUAAUACCGCAUACGACCUGAGGGUGAAAGCGGGGGAUCGCAAGACCUCGCGCGAUUGGAGCGGCCGAUAUCAGAUUAGCUAGUUGGUGGGGUAAGAGCCCACCAAGGCGACGAUCUGUAGCUGGUCUGAGAGGACGACCAGCCACACUGGGACUGAGACACGGCCCAGACUCCUACGGGAGGCAGCAGUGGGGAAUUUUGGACAAUGGACGCAAGUCUGAUCCAGCCAUGCCGCGUGUGGGAAGAAGGCCUUCGGGUUGUAAACCACUUUUGUCAGGGAAGAAACGGCUCUUACUAAUAUUAGGAGCUAAUGACGGUACCUGAAGAAUAAGCACCGGCUAACUACGUGCCAGCAGCCGCG
This 455-nucleotide ribosomal RNA is filed under the name uncultured soil bacterium. Its description in RNAcentral is "bacterial SSU rRNA". It matches the Rfam family "Bacterial small subunit ribosomal RNA", at positions 62 to 519 of the family's 1533-position model. The record is from RNAcentral.